UUCUUUUAAUAACUCGUUCAUAUUUAGCUAAAAAUAGGAUUCUCGGAUGUGAUUCUUUGAAUACAAAUUGUUUUUUUUUUUUCAACUAUAAAACGCAAUUUCAUUCAUGAGCGUGUACAACAAACACAUGUAUGUGUGCGCAUUGUAUGGCACUCCAAGUCUCCACUGGUCUACGGGAAACUUUUUCAAAAGCGCCUGCGCAAAACGAAAGUCUUUGAAAAGAUAAGAAAUAGCUUACGUAUGCUGUAAUAGUAGUUAGCGCUCUCAUUCUGACGCACGUAAUAAGUGUUCGACCCAACAGGCUCAAGCAAAAUUCCAACACAUUUCGUUGUUGCGUACUUUCGAACAUUCAUCAUACGAGCGCCGAGGAGCUGUAGCCGAGCUUUGAAAAAAUUUUCGCAGUUGGCUAAAAAUUACCGUAAGUGAAAAAGUGCUCAACGCAUGAAAAUUAUAGGAAAAUUAAAUAAUUAUUACUAAUUAAAGUGCAAAUGUCAAAUUUCGCAAUUUGAGCUCCAAAUAAACUACAACAACUAGCGAAAAAGCACACAAAGGACACAAACGUAUACUUUUGGCGAGUCAUCGAGUAAAAGGCAGAAGUGCAAUAAUAACAACAACAACAACAUACAGCAAUUUCGCAUAGUCUCUAUUGCUUUCGAACUUCGAAUGCAUAAAGCUAGUUAAUUUCGAAAACAACCCCCGAAAGCCAACUCCAACACAUAUGGCACGUAAUCAAAACAACAACAACUAAAACAACAGCGUAAAUUAGCGCCCAGCACCCACACACCCCCUACCGUUGCCUACCGUCUCUGUGAGUGUCAAAGUUACAGUCGCCGUCAGUGCUAGGGUAUCUAUAUAAUUGGCAGAAAUUUUGUAGGCAAAAGCGUUUGCGGUCUAUCUAGCCUACCUUGCCGCACCCUAUCGCCCACUCGCCUAGCACAGCAGCCAACAGCCGAAAUUAGUAGCAGCAGCAGCAGCAGCGGUAGCGCCAGCGUCAGCAACUGAUAUUCCUCAAUUUCUCUCAACGCUCAGUGCUUUUAGUCCAGCAGUCGCAGCGCAAAGUAUCGAAACAGAGCGAGUAACAUCUCAUCGGUUUUAGUUAAAACUUCACAACAAAAAUGGGCAAGAAAGAUAAGAAGAAGGAUGAGGCGGAACCAGGACCAGCAGCCGAUGCACCACCAGCUGAUACUGCCGCAGGUGAGGGCGGUGAUGGUGAGAUUGUCGGUGGACCGCGCAAUCCUCAACAGAUUGCAGCACAAAAACGGUUACAGCAGACGCAGGCACAAGUCGAUGAGGUCGUCGACAUAAUGCGAACAAAUGUGGAGAAGGUGCUUGAGAGAGAUCAAAAGUUAUCGGAAUUGGAUGAUCGAGCUGAUGCCUUACAACAGGGUGCUUCGCAAUUUGAGCAACAAGCUGGUAAACUAAAACGAAAAUUCUGGUUACAAAACUUGAAGAUGAUGAUUAUUAUGGGCGUUAUUGGACUGGUCGUUGUGGGCAUUAUUGCAAAAAAAGAUGAAGAUUAACUCACGUAUAAAGUUUGCACCAUUAUUUGACCUAAGCAAUAAAAUAUUUUACACUCAAUUAAUACCCUGCGAAAGAUAAACUAGGAUUAAUAGGCGGCGAAACACAGCCACAAUAUCCACAGUAUCCACAAUACAUGCCACCACCACCACCACAACAACAGGCACAAGCGCCAGCCGGUGGCACUUCAUCAUUGGCUGACGGCGGCAGUGCUGGCAACAAAGAGCAACACGGUGCAGUAUAAAGAUUUUCUUCAAGUGUAUUAAGUUAAAGUGGGAACAGUGGAGCAAAAUAAAACAACUAAAACCAAAAAUGAAAAAUAAAAAAAAAACAAGAAAAAUAUAAAUACUUCAAAUCAUUAGAAAAAAUAUUUAAAAGAAUUACCAGAAAAUUUGAAUGAAUGUCAGAACAACAAUUUAAGGCAAUUGCAGGAAGUGCGACAAAUUGUUAGCAGACGAACACAUAACCUCAAAAAAACAAGAAACAAUUUAAGGAGUUUUAUUGUUGCGCCAUUUUUUUGCAUUUUCUCGGCGAAUUGUUUUGGCAGCGGCGUUGAAAUGCUGUAGUGUAACUUGGUUACAUAACUUUUUCUCCAUUUUUCAUUAGUAAACUCAAGCUCAAGUGCACCGUUAAUGGAAAUUAUUUGUUAUUUUAGUUAGUUUUAUUAGUGUCUACAUCCCUCUUUUGCUCCAGUAACUCUCGCCCGCUGUCAACUGUCAAGUAUUUGUCGACACAAUUGCUAACACUUGUGUGCAAAAAAAUACAAGUACAGUGUGGUACUGUAAAGAAUCGACGUGCAACGUAAGUUUUUGGCAAUAAUUUCAAUACAUGUACACCAAAAAUGAUGAAACUCAUAAAAAAUUACUUACUACUUUAACUUUAUUAUAAUAUUUGAACAAUGCGUAAAAAAAAUAAUUACAAUUAAUAUUUGAAAUAUUGACAUUUACUGCAUAUUUGUUUAUGGUUGCAUUAUUUGAAAUGCGAAAGCAACAACAACAAAAAAUACAAAAUGUGAAAAACCAAAGAGCAACGGGCAUAAAAACCAGUGUUUAAACUACAAAAACAAAACUACUUGUAUUAUUAAUGAAAAAUAAGAACAAAAUAAAAGCAACAGAAAUAAAGUAAAAAGAAAACAAGAUGCUGGAGAACACAGAGAAUAAAAAUAAAUCAUACACUCUGCGUAAAACUAAAGUGACGAGCAAAAUAUAUAAAUUUUGUGGAUUUAUGAAUUUUUAUAUUUAUGUUUUAUGUUUUGAAAAUAUAUAAAUCUGUAUGUAUGUAUUUUGCAAAGAAUAAUUUUUGUAUUUAAUUUAAAAAUUGUUAUAAAUAUGUAUUUAUUCAAUUUGUUAUAAUAACUCUUAUUUGAAACAUUUAAUUUGCUUAGCAAAAAUGUAUUUAAGUAGAAAAAAAAUAAAUAUAAGCAAGUUAAUGUUAAUAAAAAAAACUUAUACGAGGCACAUGUAUGGGAAUGUUAAAUUUGUAUUAGAAAAAAUCGUGUUUUUGCUUGAAAUGGCGUGCAUAACUACAUAUAUAUAUAUAUAUAUAUAUAUAUAUAAAUAUACUACAUAAAUAUACAUAUAUAUGAAACUAAUCAGUGCGUACGCCUAAUUAAUUAAUUAAUUAAAUGCCAAAACUACAAAAAAUGUUUAAACAAAACAAAAAAGACAGAAUUGAAAAUAUUUUAUUUUGCUUUAACUUUUUCCUUACUAAUAUAUUUUGUAAUUGCGCUAUUUUCUUUAUAUGCAUGUAGAUAUUUCACGCCCUAAAAGUUUUAACAAUCAAUAAAACAAACAAUAAAAUUUCAACGAUUAUUUUAAGUCACAAUUAAGAGCGAUUGUUAAAAAAACUAUGAAAUAAAAAGCUUUAUUGUCAUGCAAACAAGUUACAGAUACGUAAACGGCUAUGUUAGUGCCUGCAUUUAUUUCACACAAAACUGUAAUGUCGGGCAUUGCCAUAUCAAACUGCGUUAGUUUGCUCAAAGUGUGAUUAGUCAGGUAUGUGUAACGGUGAAUACGUAGCAUAUUGGCUAUUAAACGCAUCUGUGGCGUUGAAUCGAAAUCGGCUGAUAACUUUUCGGCGCAAAACUUUAAACUGUUGUGGCUUAAAAGCGGCAUUGGUGCCAGAAAAUAUAAGCCAGAUCGCAAUAUUUGAUUUAUACUUAAUUAUUUUCCACAAAUUAUGCAGGGAGUAUAACAUUUUUGUUUUGUUUGUUUUUCAUUUAAUUUAAGAAACGUGAACUGGCAACUUCUGGCAAUAUGUGAUCAAUCAGCUGAUGCUUCUUAUAUAAACAUUAAUAUUUACAGCUGUUUAAUAGCGUUUGCUGGCACGACUAACCACACUAUGACCAAAUCUGUAUGAAACAAUAAAGUUUUUUUCUUAUAAAAAUAUAUAAAUAAUGGCAACAGUUCUUACAAUAGCCGCGCAGUGUCCCAAA
Molecule: non-coding RNA, 3952 nt
Organism: Bactrocera oleae (olive fruit fly)
Lineage: Eukaryota; Metazoa; Arthropoda; Insecta; Diptera; Tephritidae
Source: RefSeq, a predicted model, not a curated record